This 109-nucleotide microRNA precursor is filed under the name Mustela putorius furo (domestic ferret). Its description in RNAcentral is "miRNA (ENSMPUG00000021991.1)". Lineage: Eukaryota; Metazoa; Chordata; Mammalia; Carnivora; Mustelidae. The record is from RNAcentral.
GGGGAUUGCAGUCCUGCUGCGUCCCUGCUUCUUAAGAGUGCGUUUCCAGUGUCGUAGGAGAGCUUUCCUUGAAACUGGAGCCUCUGGAGUGGAAAGGGCCCGCAGCUAG